Molecule: ribosomal RNA, 907 nt
Filed under: uncultured bacterium
Lineage: Bacteria
Description: bacterial SSU rRNA
Rfam family: Bacterial small subunit ribosomal RNA
Source: RNAcentral
ACGCUGGCGGCGUGCCUAAUACAUGCAAGUCGAACGCUGGAGAUCUAGCUUGCUAGAUCGAAGGAGUGGCGAACGGGUGAGUAAUACAUAAGCAACCUACCCACGAAGACUGGGAUAAUCUCUGGAAACGGGGACUAAUACCGGAUAGGUAAUCGGAAGGCAUCUUCUGGUUAUUAAAGGUUAAAAACACUGGUGGAUGGGCUUAUGGCGCAUUAGUUAGUUGGUGAGGUAACGGCCCACCAAGACGAUGAUGCGUAGCCGGCCUGAGAGGGUGAACGGCCACAUUGGGACUGAGACACGGCCCAGACUCCUACGGGAGGCAGCAGUAGGGAAUUUUCGGCAAUGGGGGAAACCCUGACCGAGCAACGCCGCGUGAGUGAUGACGGCCUUCGGGUUGUAAAGCUCCGUUGUAAGGGAAGAACGGUAGAUAGAGAAUAUCUAAGUGACGGUACCUUACCAGAGAGCCACGGCUAACUACGUGCCAGCAGCCGCGGUAAUACGUAGGUGGCGAGCGUUAUCCGAAAUUAUUGGGCGUAAAGGGUGCGUAGGCGGCCUGUUAAGUAAGUGGUUAAAUUGUUGGGCUCAACCCAAUCCAGCCACUUAAACUGGCAGGCUAGAGUAUUGGAGAGGCAAGUGGAAUUCCAUGUGUAGCGGUAAAAUGCGUAGAUAUAUGGAGGAACACCAGUGGCGAAGGCGGCUUGCUAGCCAAAGACUGACGCUCAUGCACGAAAGCGUGGGGAGCAAAUAGGAUUAGAUACCCUAGUAGUCCACGCCGUAAACGAUGAAUACUAAGUAUUGGGGAAACUCAGUGCUGCAGCUAACGCAAUAAGUAUUCCGCCUGUGGAGUAUGCACGCAAGUGUGAAACAUAAAGGAAUUGACGGGGGCCCGCACAAGCGGUGGAGUAUG